UUCCACCUGAGGAAACCCGCGCUCCCCAUGGCGUGGGCGCGAGCGCCCCCUGGAGGCCCCGGCGGAGGGAGCGGCCUGGAGCGGAGCGCGCCGCCUCGCCCCGCCCAGAGAGCAGUUCCCCGGACUUGGGGGCUCCCGCCCCGGGCGGCCGCAGCCGCGCUUCCACGCCUGGCCCAGUCGCUCACCCCGGGCGCCUAGGGACACGUCACCCUGAGGACCUCCUCUCCACUUCGGGGUAAAGCGGGAAUAUCUGGAAGGCGGUGGGAGCGAUGCUUCUUUUCACACACAUUAUAGGAAACCUCUUGGAUGGAUGCCCAACUGCCACCAAAACCGGUGAGGGUAUCGCUCACCUCUGCAUCCUCGGUGUCUACAAGAGUGCCUGGCAUAUGUCUGACUCAGCUGAAUUGCAAUAACCUUCAAAUGAAUCAUUUAUAAUUCAAAUGGUCUGCAAGUCAGCUGGGAUGGCUCUGCUUCAGGAUGCAGCUUU
Molecule: non-coding RNA, 487 nt
Organism: Kogia breviceps (pygmy sperm whale)
Lineage: Eukaryota; Metazoa; Chordata; Mammalia; Artiodactyla; Physeteridae
Source: RefSeq, a predicted model, not a curated record